CAAUAGCGUAUAUUAAAAUUGUUGCAGUUAAAACGCUCGUAGUUGAAUAUCUGGUGUGACAGGUCGGUCCGCUUCUGCGUGCACCGCGCCUUGUCACGGCAUCCGUUUGCGGCAUCCGCUGCAAACCGUUCACUUUGAGGAAAUUAGAGUGUUCAAAGCAGGCUCACGCCUUGAAUACUUCAGCAUGGAAUGAUUGCUAGGACAUCCGUCCUAUCAGUUGGUUCUAGGGGCGAAUGUAAUGAUUAAUAGGGUCGGUCGGGGGCAUUCGUAUUGAACAGCUAGAGGUGAAAUUCUUAGAUUUGUUCAAGACGAACCACUGCGAAAGCAUUUGCCAAGGACGUACCCAUUAAU
Molecule: ribosomal RNA, 351 nt
Filed under: uncultured eukaryote
Lineage: Eukaryota
Description: partial 18S ribosomal RNA
Rfam family: Eukaryotic small subunit ribosomal RNA
Source: RNAcentral